CCUACGGGAGACAGCAGUGGGGAAUAUUGCACAAUGGGGGAAACCCUGAUGCAGCGACGCCGCGUGAGUGAAGAAGUACUUCGGUAUGUAAAGCUCUUUCAGCAGGGAAGAAAAUGACGGUACCUGACCAAGAAGCCCCGGCUAACUACGUGCCAGCAGCCGCGGUAAUACGGAGGGGGCAAGCGUUAUCCGGAUUUACUGGGUGUAAAGGGAGCGUAGACGGCAGGGCAAGUCUGGAGUGAAAGGCGGGGGCUCAACCCCCGGAGUGCUCUGGAAACUGCCAGGCUGGAGUGCAGGAGAGGUAAGUGGAAUUCGUGGUGUAGCGGUGAAAUGCGUAGAUAUUACGAAGAACACCAGUGGCGAAGGCAGCUUACUGGACUGUAACUGACGUUGAGGCUCGAAAGCGUGGGGAGCGAACAGGAUUAGAUACCCGGGUAGUC
RNAcentral lists this ribosomal RNA (440 nucleotides) under uncultured bacterium. Its description in RNAcentral is "partial 16S ribosomal RNA". It matches the Rfam family "Bacterial small subunit ribosomal RNA", at positions 338 to 795 of the family's 1533-position model. The record is from RNAcentral.